UAUCACUGUACCAGAAUUCAUGUCGUAUACGUAAUGAGGAAACAGCUUCAGGUUUGUAAUACGUACCAAGCAGCAAGUAAAUAACUUGAGGUGGGUCAGAUUUCUCUAGAGGUAGUGUGCGAGUAAAGGUUAGUAACGUGUUCAUUAGGUAUUCUAUACUACAGGUCUAGGAAGUCAGAAACGCUAAAUAGUAAAAGAGUUAGAGACUAAAAACAUCUAAAUUCUAAUGCCUCUUGGCAUUACAAGUACAAUUUACAUUAUCAAUAUCAUCUGCAAUUGCCACUGGGCAGUAACAGAUUUCAGGCGAGAACUCUGAUCUAUAAUAAGUUGAGAGAUUCAGACAGUAUAGGAAAUUGAACUUGGGCUUAAAUUCACAUGGAAAACUAUUGGUGUUAUAACGUCAACUACUGACCCUCCUAUGCCUCAACCAUUUACUCUUCUCGAGCAAAAGCCAACAACAACAAAAAAGUCAAGUCCCAGUCCAUUUCGUGGUAGAAGGCUGCUCUGCUUCAAGACAUAUUUAUUGAAUUAACUUAUACAAUUCUGAAUAUUGCACAAGGGAUGUAAGACCAUCAUUGUUCAUAGGAAUGACCAAACCACAGCUAUACCAGCCACCAGUCCCCCUGCUUUUAACUGUAAAUGGAAACUACAGUAAAGCAUAUGUAGAAGAUACUGCAGAAACUAAGUUGUGGGAGGACCGGUAACAAUAUCCCCAGAUUAUUUUUGGUCAUGUGGAGAGUCUUCACCUGAGGGUAGGUAAGGCUCCUCAUAUAAGAGUGAAUUCAGCAAUGCUGGUUCUUGUAGAUGCUCGUUGUUGUUGCAUCUUCUUCUGUACGUUAUUAAUAUUUGGUCGACAUA
Limulus polyphemus (Atlantic horseshoe crab) is the source of this 858-nucleotide long non-coding RNA. RefSeq lists it as uncharacterized. The record is from RefSeq and is a predicted model, not a curated record. NCBI's taxonomy places the organism in Eukaryota, Metazoa, Arthropoda, Merostomata, Xiphosura, Limulidae. The transcript has 5 exons.